CCUUGCUGCGGCCUGGGGGCACAGGGCUGGCUGGGGCUGGGUGGGGCUCUUCCCUCUCGCCCUUCUUUUCUGCCUCCCACCUCCCAGCCCUGCCCGGCCAUCACUGAGAUAAAACGGGACACCCGGAUGGCAGGCCGGGCUCCUUCACUGCUGGUGUCCCCACCCUCUGAACAGAGGAUCCUGGUCUGUAACUGGGGUUUGGGGGACACUUGAAGUUUAGAAGGGGCUGAGCCUGGGAUUAGGGGUGCAGGAAAGCACUGCCCUGCCCCCACCCACCUGACCUCAGCAACCCCUGUACCCACUUGUCAGGACGCAGUUAUCUGCUCUGCCCUGAAACCUUGCAGGGCAGCUCGGCCGCCAGGGCCAGGCCUGGGAGCAGGGCCUGGCGGAGUGGGGUCAGGGAGAGCUCCGCCAGCCAGUCAGCCCCAAGAAUGUUGGUGCGUUAACCACCAGGAACCAGCGGCUCCUGCGGGGCCAGGUGGGCAGGUUGGAGGUCCGAGUGGGGCAGGCUGCCAGGGGUCCAGGCCAAGGUAAGCAGGUACCUGGGGGGCUGCCUCGCCGCACUGCCCAGGCCGACCACAGCUGUGCCUCGGCCCGCCUGCUGCUGCUGUCGGCACAGGCAGCCAGAUGAUUGGUGAGCCGGGGGCCAGGGGUUAAUGCGCCGUCGGAUAAAUCCCGGGCCAUGUUUACGGCAGUGGUGGCGGGGACCAGGCCAGGUUUUAAAAGGGGGAAAAAUAAAAGGGGCAGGAAGGUCAGGAAUAAAUAAGAGCAGCACUAAGAGCUGUCAGUGACCGGCCAGGAUGCAGGACUGGGGGUCUGUUUGUGGCCAGAGAUGUUUUCCCUCCCACCCGCCUCUGUUUCUCCUCCAGCUCUCCCUGUGAAGGUCACGGCCAUCCCAGCUGCCUCACACAAUGAGGGGCUUCACUGGGGCUGGGGGCCCGCAGACAGUGGGCCAUGAAUCUUACAGGUGGCUGGGGACCUACUGGGUCACGGUUAGGACCGUGGCCUUGGCUGUGAGGUGAGAGCCCAGGCAGAGUGCUGAGCAGAAGAGGGGUGAUGGCCUGACUCAGGAUCUAGACGGCCCACACCUUUCUGUGCACCUCUUCUGUGACCCUCUUCUGAAGUCUGUCCUUUGGAGACCUCGGGGGCCCUAGUUAAUGUAGCACCUGCCCUGCCCUGCCCGCUGCCGCCCUCCCCGUGUCUCUUCACUCACCGCCCAGUGACUGAGCCCCUGCCACAAGCUGGGCCUUGAGCUGGGUGCCAGGGCAGAUCUGCCGGGCAGCAGAGGGGGCUGGCACCUGCCCUGCCAGAGCCCCCAGGCCACAUUACACAGGGGGGUCUGCGCGCUGCGGGUGGGACACGAAGGCCCAGUGGGAGCCCAGUGAAGAGCCCUGAGCGCUCCAGUGAGAGCGGCGGGGCGUCCUGGGCAGGGGGAGCAGCACGGGCAAAGGCCUGAAUCGAGGGGGAUGUGGGGUUUUGGGGAGACACAGAAGAUCCAAGCGGCCGGAGGCCAGCCGGGAAGAGGGGAGGUGGAAGAUGCUGCAGGCGCCAGAGAGCCUUCAGCUCCAGAAGACAAAGGUGCACAGAAAGGUGUGGGCCGUCUAGAUCCUGAGUCAGGCCAUCACCCCUCUUCUGCUCAGCACUCUGCCUGGGCUCUCACCUCACAGCCAAGGCCACGGUCCUUACCAUGACCCAGCAGGUCCCCAGCCACCUGUAAGAUUCAUGGCCGCUGCUCAUCCCCGUCACUCUGCAGCAGCCACACCGACCUCCUUGCAGUUCCGGGAACAGAUCUGGCCCGCUCCCGCCUCAGGGCCUGUGUGUUGUCUGUUCCCUCUGCCUGGAAUGCUCUUCCAGAUGCCAUGUGGCUGCUCCCUUCACCUCUUACGGGGUUCACUGGCAUGCCGCCUUCUCAGUGAGGCUCCCCCUGGCCCCUAAUUGAAGCUGCCGCUGCUUGGCCCUGGCCCAGCCACCCUGCACCCCCCGGAGCCCUCACCCCGCUCUUGGUUUUUCUUGUCCUCAGGGUGCCUCUCUCCCAAGGUGCCAUAUAAUUCACUUAUUUAUCAUGUUCAUCACUUGUCUGUCUCCCCCUGAGAACAGGGCUCCACAGGGCAUCACUGCAUCACCAGUCCCUACAGCUGGGUCUGGCAUAUGUAGUAGGUGCUCAACAAAUGGUUAUUGAAUGACUGAAUGAGGCACAGGUAAAAGCAGGGACCACCCUUUGUGUUAAGGGCUUUGCUGACGAGUGCGGUGGGCGCCAGUGAGGUUUGGCAGGGCAGGAGCCGCUCAUGCAUGGCCAGGCUGCAUGGAGGCACAGCGGGGCCCUUCCAGCUUCCCUCCCCGCGGGACUGAGGGGAAGAGGCUGCUGGAGCAGGCCCCAGGCACGGCCUGACCGACGCAGAGAUGGAUGGGGUGGGCCGGGACCCAGGAGGAAGCGGGCCCGCAGUCCAGCCUUUUAACGCGGCCGAGAUUUAUGGAGCCAUCGAAAGUGCUCACCGGGGCUGUCACUCUGCUAAUGUGAUUGGAACAAGAGAACUAGGAGGAUUCCCAGAAGAGGGGGCAUUUGACUUGGACCCUGAAGGCUGAGUAGGAGUUUGGCAGGAACAGCGGGAGGAAGAGGCCCACCAGAUGGAGGGCCCAGUGUCUGAGGACUGAAAUGUUUACUCGGCGAUAAGGAGCCGGCUUUCUCGUGGAGAUUUGUGCGCUCUUUUUCAAUUACCCCUCGUCUUUCUCUGCCACUUUUGCACUAAAGGGAUAAUAAAUGUAUCGGAGCGUUUCAAUUAUUCAUCUAAAUCAUGACUUCGCCUGCCACGGCCAGCUUUAGUGACAGAUUAAUUCAGGGCCGCCUUCCUCUGCUUGCGUGGCCGCCAUCUCUGCCCCUGCCUGGCCAGCUUCCCAAAGGGCUGGCCUGAGGGGUGGCCAGGCUGGGGUCAGGCAGGGCCCUGGCAGGCACAGGCAGGCAGGGCAGCAUGGAGCCUGUCCCCACACAUGCACUGAUAGGGCACUCCUGCUCAUCCGGAGGCCAGCAGCCCCACCCAAACCUACCAGUGGGGGUGCCACUCCCUGCCCUCCUGCUUUGUCGGCUCUGCACAGCCCCUGCUUCCUGCCCACGUGGCUGGUAUGUCUCGUACACCUGGUGUCCCAAGUUGCUCGCUCCUGAGAGAAGCCAGGGUGGCUCAGGUUCUGCCACAGCCCUCUUCUGGCACAGGGCCUUUGCACAUGCUGCUCCUGUGCCCAAGGGCUCCUGUGCCCUCCCACCACAACCUUCCCUCCUACCUGUCUCAAUGCCAGGGCCACCUCUCCAACCACUGUUCCAUUUUCUGAGGGCUUGCCAUGUCCCCAGCACUAUCCUGGACCCUGGGACCCAGCAGACCCUGCCCUGACAGACAGGCCUGGGAGGAUCAGCGAGGCCUCUGAGUACGCAGGCCCUGACGUCUGCCCAGUUUGCGUGCCGUCCUGCGUGGUCCUGCCCCGGCACUAUCUCCCAUCGCCUAGCACCGCUAAUCCGUGACCGCUUCCCGUGGUUGCCAGGAAAAGGCUCGCUCUGCCUGCUUCGAAUAGCCGUGGCCUGGCACAGUGGGCAGAUAACGUGGCCUCCGUGGCCCUCUCCAGGCCACGCUGUGUGUGGCAGGGCCCAGCCCAGCCUGGGCUGGGCCCAGAGGAAGCAGGCAGCCCCAAGGAGCUGACCAGCAGCCCAAAAACUCAUCUUGGACGCCACUGUGUGCCAGCUCAGGGUGGGUGGGUGUACGGGGCAGAGUGUGGCUGGGACCCUCUGACCUGGAGUUGUCUGGGGCUGGGGGACGUGCUGCAGCAGAGAAAGGAGGGCAUUCCAGGAUGGGGGCAUAGCCAAAGCCCCCAGUGGCCAGCUCAGACCACGCUCCUCCCCUGCUCAAAACCUCCCACUGCGAUGGAACCCAUUCCUGGCUCCUCACCACUGCCCACCAGUCCUGCGGACACGGCCCUCCGCUCCCAGCUUCCUCCUGGACUCACCCCCCUGCCUGCUGAGCCCUCUGCCUGUCCCCGCCCUCCCCAGCUUCGGGGUGGGCCUUCCUAACCGUGCGAUCGUGCCCACAGCCUCCCACCUCCCUUCCCUCUAGUCCGGCUCUAUUUUCUGCCUUUUCAGGGCUUGCAGUGACAGUAGGGUGUCCCCUCCCUCACACAGAGCCUGGCACCAGGCGGGCCCCUCCCCUCUGUUGAAUGCGUUUAUGGUUACAGCCAGGUGGGAGGGACCGGAGGCUGGACCAUCAUCAGAGGAGGAGGCUGGAGGAGCCCCAGCUUUGUCAGGGGUUGAGGACUUUAUUUCAAGGACCAUGGGAGCCAUGGAGGUUUUAUGAGCAAGGGAGUGAUGUGCCAGCCCCAAAUAAAGGUACUGGGCCAACCCUGAGAGGAUGGUUGUGGUGCCAAUGGCACCCCAAUGUCCCGACCGCUCUCCGCACAGAUGCCAGGGCCCUGCCAAGCCUCUCCCUGCGGGAGUUUGGAGGCCCUCACUGCAGCGCUAUGGGUACACCGUUAGCUCCAUUCUGUAGACAGAGAAACUGAGGGCCAGGUCCUGGGGCUGAGCCGUGCUCCCACCUGCACCCCCACCCCCAGUUGCCCAUCCCUGCACUGGAGGAUAAGGGGACACAGUCCCCCAACAGGCCCAUGCCCCACCCCCAGUGGGCUAGAUGCUGCCAAGCCCCUGCAGGCAGCUGCCACGGGGAUUUCUAAUAACGGGAGUGAUUUUUGCAUGAUGAAUGAGGCGCUGCCGUUGUGUACAUAAUGAAGCCCUAAUGUUUUCAAAUCCCCAUUUAAGGAGCUGAUCUCACCCUGUAAUGAAUUUCAGAUCACAUUGCCGAUCUACUGUCCAUCUAUCUUCUCCCUGGGGCACCCACCCACCUUGGCACAGUGACAGUGGGGCCUGGUGAGGGUGGGAUCUGCAUCCCCCAAAGGGCCGAGCCCAAGCCCAGCACAGAGCUGGGGCUGGCAUGUUUGUUGAUUGCAUGAGUGAGGGUGUGGGUAGAGGCAGAGGUGGUUCUGGCAGUGGAGCGUCACUGGGGUCAGUCAGGGCCCGGAAGGAGGAUGGAGAACAGAGAUGGAGAGUGUGGGGUGCACCGAGAGAGAAGGGGGUCCAAGGCCCCUGGGGUGGGUCAUUUGUCCAGGCUUUAUGGCUGAGCCUGCUCUCUGCAGGGCUGCAGCUGCUCAGGCGUCUGUCCUGUCCUGGCUGGUACCUUCCCCAGGGACUCAGUUUCUCCAUCUGCCCAGUGGAGCUUGGCUCCUUCAGCCCUGGCAUUAGGCAUUUCCAUGCAGGUGGCCAGAGCCGGGGCUUGAGCAGUGCCCUCUACCCCAGCCCCUCAGGCCUCUGCCCACACAGCCCAUGGCUAGCCUCGGUCUCCCCAUCUGUAAAACAGGGUGACCCUGUGAUAAAGCACAGGCCGCUCUGGGGCAGCUCCUCCCUGCUCUUGCUCCAUUCUCUGUGCUUGUGCCAGCGAGGUGGGAGGUGCUCUUACUGACCUUGUACAGAUGAGGAAACUGAGGCACAGAGCGGUGAAGUGACGCAGCCAAGAGUUGGGGGGGCUGGGGGCAGGGCUUGGGUCUCAUGGCCCCAGGUGUGCUCUGUCACUGCAAGCCAGGCCUCCUCACAGACCCAGUGAGCUCCGUUCAGAGGCUGAGACCCAGGGCCUGUCCUCUCCCUCCCUGCUCUGGGGCCCACGGGUGCCCAGAAAGGGCAGGCAAGGCUGAAGGCCGCCCAGUCAGGGCCUGCCAGUGGCUUUGUCCCGUGGCCUUCAGCACUGCUCCUGUGAGGCGGGGCUAGGGGAGCAGCUCCCGGCCCCAGUUCCCUCUAACUGAUAUCACAGACACGCUGCUCAUCACUCCGGCCUGCCCUCUCCCAUCCUCCAGGCCACUUCUUAGCAGAUCUCAGCCCUCCUCACAGCUCUUGGAAGCCAGUCCUGAAGCUCAGAGAGGUUAAGUGACUUGCCUAAAGCCACCAGCAGGGUGGUGGGCAGGAUUUCUCAGACAAAAAAAUCCCAGUAGGGGGCACACAGCGGGCCAGACCCACAAGACAGUGGGGUUGGAGUAGAGGGACAGGCCGCCCAGGGCUGGUCAGGGUCUCCUGCCCUGAGGGCACCAUGGCCCCGUCGCCCCCAGGCCACAAGCCUCCUUGUGUUCCUAUAAAUAAUUAAUUAGUCCCUGCUUACUUGUUUGUUUAGCAUGAGGAGUGCUCCCCCACUGAGAUGCAUUUAUUGCUGAAUAAAUUUAAAUAUCUAAUCUUCCCUUCAUGAAUAUUACAGCACCCUAAAUAGCGGCCAACGUUUCCUAAGCGCCUUGGCAAAUGCCCCCCCGCAGGAGCCUGCCAGCCUUCCGCCCCUGCUGGCUCUGAGCCGGCCCUGGCCCCAGCCCCUGCCCUUCCUGUGCCCUCCCCUUCCCAGACCUGCCAGGAGGGCCCUGGAGACUGUGCCCCUGGAGACUGUGUGGAGUGUGCAGGCCACGCUGCUGGCAGGAGGGCUGGGGUGGGCUCCCAGCAGGGGUGGCUGGGUGUAAUGGGGGAAGCACCUGGGACCAGGGCAGAGGGUCAGGGCUGGGGCAGAGAGAGGGCAGACAGGGCCCCCAAACAGCAGCAGCGUCAGAGGAGCUCAGGAGGGACACAGGGGAGGUCGGAGGAGCAGAAGGACUGGGAGACAGGGUCUCCAGGACAGCCCUGCUAGGCGCAGG
Molecule: long non-coding RNA, 6687 nt
Organism: Manis pentadactyla (Chinese pangolin)
Lineage: Eukaryota; Metazoa; Chordata; Mammalia; Pholidota; Manidae
Exons: 4
Source: RefSeq, a predicted model, not a curated record